UACAGAGGGGGCAAGCGUUAUUCGGAAUUAUUGGGCGUAAAGGGCGCGUAGGCGGCUUGGCAAGUGGAAGGUGAAAUCCCUCAGCUUAACCGAGGAACUGCCCUCCAAACUGCUUCGCUUGAGACCGGGAGAGGUGAGUGGAAUUCCCAGUGUAGCGGUGAAAUGCGUAGAUAUUGGGAGGAACACCAGUGGCGAAGGCGGCUCACUGGACCGGUACUGACGCUGAGGCGCGAAAGCGUGGGGAGCAAACGGG
Molecule: ribosomal RNA, 253 nt
Filed under: uncultured bacterium
Lineage: Bacteria
Description: partial 16S ribosomal RNA
Rfam family: Bacterial small subunit ribosomal RNA
Source: RNAcentral